UACGGAGGGUGCAAGCGUUGCUCGGAAUCACUGGGCGUAAAGCGUACGCAGGCGGUGCGUUAAGUCGGGUGUGAAAGCCCAGGGCUCAACCCUGGAAGUGCACUCGAAACUGGCGCGCUAGAGUAUAGGAGAGGGAAGCGGAAUUCCUGGUGUAGAGGUGAAAUUCGUAGAUAUCAGGAGGAACAUCAGUGGCGAAAGCGGCUUCCUGGCCUAUAACUGACGCUCAUGUACGAGAGCGUGGGGAGCAAACAGG
RNAcentral lists this ribosomal RNA (253 nucleotides) under uncultured bacterium. Its description in RNAcentral is "partial 16S ribosomal RNA". It matches the Rfam family "Bacterial small subunit ribosomal RNA", at positions 524 to 776 of the family's 1533-position model. The record is from RNAcentral.